GGAGAGAUGGCCGAGAGGUCGAAGGCGGUCGCCUGCUAAGCGAAUAAGUGGGUAACAGCCUGCUUCGAGGGUUCGAAUCCCUCUCUCUCCGCCA
This 94-nucleotide transfer RNA is filed under the name Bacillota bacterium. RNAcentral's name for it is "Firmicutes bacterium (anaerobic digester metagenome) tRNA-Ser". It matches the Rfam family "tRNA". From Rfam's summary of the family: Transfer RNA (tRNA) molecules are approximately 80 nucleotides in length. Their secondary structure includes four short double-helical elements and three loops (D, anti-codon, and T loops). The record is from RNAcentral. Lineage: Bacteria; Bacillati; Bacillota.